GAAGUAUUAACUUAAUUUUAAAGUGCCAAACUUUUAAUUUGGAAAUGUGGAUUCAUACUUCU
RNAcentral lists this transfer RNA (62 nucleotides) under Zootermopsis nevadensis. It matches the Rfam family "tRNA". Rfam says of the family: Transfer RNA (tRNA) molecules are approximately 80 nucleotides in length. The record is from Rfam by way of RNAcentral. Lineage: Eukaryota; Metazoa; Arthropoda; Insecta; Blattodea; Termopsidae.